RNAcentral lists this ribosomal RNA (1362 nucleotides) under Adlercreutzia muris. RNAcentral's name for it is "partial 16S ribosomal RNA". It matches the Rfam family "Bacterial small subunit ribosomal RNA". The record is from RNAcentral. Lineage: Bacteria; Bacillati; Actinomycetota; Coriobacteriia; Eggerthellales; Eggerthellaceae.
ACAUGCAAGUCGAACGAUUAAACCGCCCUCGGGCGGACAUAGAGUGGCGAACGGGUGAGUAACACGUGACCAACCUGCCCCGCGCUCCGGGACAACCGCUGGAAACGGCGGCUAAUACCGGGUACUCCGGGAGGGCCCCAUGGCCCUGCCGGGAAAGCCGAGACGGCGCGGGAUGGGGUCGCGGCCCAUUAGGUAGACGGCGGGGUAACGGCCCACCGUGCCCGCGAUGGGUAGCCGGACUGAGAGGUCGACCGGCCACAUUGGGACUGAGAUACGGCCCAGACUCCUACGGGAGGCAGCAGUGGGGAAUUUUGCGCAAUGGGGGAAACCCUGACGCAGCAACGCCGCGUGCGGGACGAAGGCCCUCGGGUUGUAAACCGCUUUCAGCAGGGAAGACUUUACGACGGUACCUGCAGAAGAAGCUCCGGCUAACUACGUGCCAGCAGCCGCGGUAAUACGUAGGGGGCGAGCGUUAUCCGGAUUCAUUGGGCGUAAAGCGCGCGUAGGCGGCCGCCUAAGCGGGACCUCUAACCCCGGGGCUCAACCCCGGGCCGGGUCCCGGACUGGGCGGCUCGAGUGCGGUAGAGGAGAGCGGAAUUCCCGGUGUAGCGGUGGAAUGCGCAGAUAUCGGGAAGAACACCGAUGGCGAAGGCAGCUCUCUGGGCCGUCACUGACGCUGAGGCGCGAAAGCUGGGGGAGCGAACAGGAUUAGAUACCCUGGUAGUCCCAGCCGUAAACGAUGGGCGCUAGGUGUGGGGGGGCGAUCCCUCCGUGCCGCAGCCAACGCAUUAAGCGCCCCGCCUGGGGAGUACGGCCGCAAGGCUAAAACUCAAAGGAAUUGACGGGGGCCCGCACAAGCAGCGGAGCAUGUGGCUUAAUUCGAAGCAACGCGAAGAACCUUACCAGGGCUUGACAUGCCGAUGAAGCCGGGGAGACCCGGUGGCCGAGAGGAGUCGGCGCAGGUGGUGCAUGGCUGUCGUCAGCUCGUGUCGUGAGAUGUUGGGUUAAGUCCCGCAACGAGCGCAACCCCCGCCCCGUGUUGCCAGCAUUCAGUUGGGGACUCGCGGGGGACUGCCGGCGUCAAGCCGGAGGAAGGUGGGGACGACGUCAAGUCAUCAUGCCCCUUAUGCCCUGGGCUGCACACGUGCUACAAUGGCCGGUACAGAGGGUUGCCACCCCGCGAGGGGGAGCGGAUCCCGGAAAGCCGGUCCCAGUUCGGAUCGCAGGCUGCAACCCGCCUGCGUGAAGCCGGAGUUGCUAGUAAUCGCGGAUCAGCACGCCGCGGUGGAAUACGUUCCCGGGCCUUGUACACACCGCCCGUCACACCACCCGAGUCGUCUGCACCCGAAGCCGCCGGCCGAA